UGAUUUUACACUGAAGCAGUGCCUCCAAGCUUGAAAAGACUCAGUGCUCCUUGGGUAUGGGAGGUCUGCCUUGUUGAACUUCUGCCUUGUGGGAACAUGAAGCCCGAGUUACAGUGCUAGGUGGUGUUUAGCAGGAAGAUCUUCAGGAAAGGACUGACACAUUAAACAAGCACUGAAGUAAAGAGAGAAGUGUUUCUACGAACUGUUUCAUCAUGAAUACAUGAAACCAAUAUAGCUGGGAGCCCAGGGAUGAAAGCUUUAAACCUGGAGGGUGCCUGGUGCUUCCUGAGAAUCUCACGGGGGAAACAUUCAGUCCGAAAACAGCUUCGCUGACAGAUAUAUUUUUAUAGCCUAUUAUUUUCUCUCCUCAUUCUUUGUUUCAUUUGAAUAUAAUAGGCUCUUUAUUUUUAACUGCUCGUCUGUUCCUGCCGUUUAUAUCCUCACCCAAAAAUCAUAAUUCUCUUGUUUCAUUUCUUUCUGUCUUUUUUUUUUGUUUUGUUUUUGACAUCACAUUUGGUUACUGUUAAACAUAUGUGCUACAAUGCCUGUAUAGAAGGGACAUUGUUUAUUUUUCUGAGUAAUAAAUUUUCCAUUUUCCUCUCUGUCUUUUCAAAGGAAUCCCAUAUUUCAAUUUGAACCAAAAGGAUAUAGCCCUAUUUAUAGGUUUUGAAUUUUGGCAGUGAUGUAAGUGUGUUAUGUGGUUGUAUGACUUCAUGAGAGGAAAAAAAAAGGAGUUGCAGAUGAAUAUGUAAAAGUGUCAUUUUCCUUUUUAUUUCUCUAAUACACGAGAUGGAGAAAAUACUUCUGAUGCUGCUUCUCCUGGGUGUAGUUGGUGUGUUCUCAUGGGACUGCUCCAGGGUCCCAGCAAAGAAGCUGCCCAUGUCCUUGAGCUACUGAUGCAAUUUUAUAGUGGAUUCAAACAUGAGCAGAUUCAAAUGCUAAUUAAACAAAAUGUACAGAGUGGUUUCGCUGUUUGGAAGUGGAUAAAUGCAUAAUACGAGGCCCAUGCUAGUAAAGUUACUUUUUUCUUUUGUACUUUCCAAAAUCAUGUUUUGUUUGGUCAUUUAAAAAGAAUAGAUGCACAACUUUCUGGCAUGAUAGAUUUUAAUUUGGACAAAUAAGCAUGAUAAGGUACUUGCUUUCAUCUUAUACUUGCAUUCAUCUUAUAAAAUCCAUGUUAGGGUGCUGUCUGUGAGAGCCAGACUGCACGUCUCCCCCCUUCUUACUACCCCUGCACAAACCCACGUCCGCCAGCUACGGGGGACGAAGCAGCAGUGUUUGCUCAAACAGCCUGUGCACGCAGGUGGCUCUGCACAAUGCCAGGUCAGCAUGACAUGAAUGCACCACCUCUGACACUUCGCAGCAGACCUUGUUAUGAGUUCCUGCCCUGUUGAAGCAAAGCAAGUUGGAGAGCCAGUCAGGCUUUGCUCUCUGUGCUGCCACUGACUCUCAGACAAGUUCUUAAAUCUGGGUCUCAGUUUACCCGUCUGUAAGUUAACAACUGCAGUGCUUGUCUCUGGGAGUGUCUGAGAAUAGAACUGGUGGGAAAAACGAUUUUUGUCCCAGAAAACCUGUAGAGAUUAGAAUGUUAUACAUAUGUGAAUAUAAUUAUUUAAUAGAGAAUGUAACUAUAGAUGUAUGUAAAUAUGUAAUUUUAG
Molecule: long non-coding RNA, 1658 nt
Organism: Cygnus olor (mute swan)
Lineage: Eukaryota; Metazoa; Chordata; Aves; Anseriformes; Anatidae
Exons: 3
Source: RefSeq, a predicted model, not a curated record